This 1079-nucleotide ribosomal RNA is filed under the name Escherichia coli. Its description in RNAcentral is "partial 23S ribosomal RNA". It matches the Rfam family "Bacterial large subunit ribosomal RNA", at positions 412 to 1497 of the family's 2925-position model. Lineage: Bacteria; Pseudomonadati; Pseudomonadota; Gammaproteobacteria; Enterobacterales; Enterobacteriaceae. The record is from RNAcentral.
GUAGGGCGGGACACGUGGUAUCCUGUCUGAAUAUGGGGGGACCAUCCUCCAAGGCUAAAUACUCCUGACUGACCGAUAGUGAACCAGUACCGUGAGGGAAAGGCGAAAAGAACCCCGGCGAGGGGAGUGAAAAAGAACCUGAAACCGUGUACGUACAAGCAGUGGGAGCCUCUUUAUGGGGUGACUGCGUACCUUUUGUAUAAUGGGUCAGCGACUUAUAUUCUGUAGCAAGGUUAACCGAAUAGGGGAGCCGAAGGGAAACCGAGUCUUAACUGGGCGUUAAGUUGCAGGGUAUAGACCCGAAACCCGGUGAUCUAGCCAUGGGCAGGUUGAAGGUUGGGUAACACUAACUGGAGGACCGAACCGACUAAUGUUGAAAAAUUAGCGGAUGACUUGUGGCUGGGGGUGAAAGGCCAAUCAAACCGGGAGAUAGCUGGUUCUCCCCGAAAGCUAUUUAGGUAGCGCCUCGUGAAUUCAUCUCCGGGGGUAGAGCACUGUUUCGGCAAGGGGGUCAUCCCGACUUACCAACCCGAUGCAAACUGCGAAUACCGGAGAAUGUUAUCACGGGAGACACACGGCGGGUGCUAACGUCCGUCGUGAAGAGGGAAACAACCCAGACCGCCAGCUAAGGUCCCAAAGUCAUGGUUAAGUGGGAAACGAUGUGGGAAGGCCCAGACAGCCAGGAUGUUGGCUUAGAAGCAGCCAUCAUUUAAAGAAAGCGUAAUAGCUCACUGGUCGAGUCGGCCUGCGCGGAAGAUGUAACGGGGCUAAACCAUGCACCGAAGCUGCGGCAGCGACACUAUGUGUUGUUGGGUAGGGGAGCGUUCUGUAAGCCUGUGAAGGUGGCCUGUGAGGGUUGCUGGAGGUAUCAGAAGUGCGAAUGCUGACAUAAGUAACGAUAAAGCGGGUGAAAAGCCCGCUCGCCGGAAGACCAAGGGUUCCUGUCCAACGUUAAUCGGGGCAGGGUGAGUCGACCCCUAAGGCGAGGCCGAAAGGCGUAGUCGAUGGGAAACAGGUUAAUAUUCCUGUACUUGGUGUUACUGCGAAGGGGGGACGGAGAAGGCUAUGUUGGCCGGGCG